This 5687-nucleotide long non-coding RNA is filed under the name Homo sapiens (human). Its description in RNAcentral is "HSALNT0157191". The record is from RNAcentral. Lineage: Eukaryota; Metazoa; Chordata; Mammalia; Primates; Hominidae.
CAACCCCAACGCCAGGGCUGUCCUGCUUCUACAAGUGACAAUGACAAAUAUAGGCCUGAAGGAAGAUGAGCUGAUGGCAUUCCCAGCUUACUACCACUCCUUGGGGGCCUUAUCUCACAUACGUGGAUUCAAUUCAUAGACUCAGGGCUGCUGUGGUUUUCUGGGGGUCCACUCUGGACCCUCAUCACCUCAGUCUCUCCUGCCCCUGGAGGUAUCACCAGUGAAGGCUGCGAAACAGCAAAGAUGGCGGCCUGUUCCUUCCUCUGGGAGCACCAGUCCAAGGAGGUACCGACUUGAUGCCAGCUGGAACGCUCCUGUAGGAGGUGUCUGGAGACCCCUGUUGGGAGGUCUUGCCCAGUCAGGAGAAACAGAAUCAGGGACUGCUUAAAGAAGCAGUCUGGCUGCCCUUUGGCAGAGCAGGUGUGCUGUGGUGACUGCCAGGAGUCUCCAGAGCCAGCAGGCUGGAAAGGCUCAGUUGGCUGAACUGGGGAGACAGCAGCUACCCCUCUCCCUGGGGACUUCAUCCCAGGGAGAAAUCAGAGUUCUGUCCAUAGAACUCUGGCUGGAGUUGCUAAAAUUCCGAUGGGCAGGCCCUGUUCGGUGAGGAGGGAUGGAUUUCGGUCUCACUUAAAGAAGCAGCCCGGCCAGGAUCAGGCACAGCAGCUGUGCUGUGUUAUGGGGGACUCCUCCUGGUCCCUGGUGCCAGCAGGCUAGAGCGGCCAACUCAAACCACAGAUAGAGUGGCUGCCCUCCCCCGGGAACUCAGUCCAUCUCCGGCUGUCUCCAGCCUGCUGCCACUGGCCAGCUGGAAUUCAGUGGUUUGUAGUCCUCCUUGAAGAGGUUCUUCACUUCGCUUGUUAGCUGUAUUCCUAUGUAUUUUAUUCUCUUUGUAGUAAUUGUGAAUGAAGUUCAUUCAUGAUUUGGCUCUCUACUUGCCUGUUGUUGGUGUAUAGGAAUACUAGCGAUUUUUGCACAUUGAUUUUGUAUCCUGAGAUUCUGUUGAUGUGGUUCAUCAGCUUAAGAAGCUUUUGGGCUGAGAUGAUGGGGUUUUCUAGAUACAGGAUCAUGUCAUCUGCAAACAAAGAUAAUUUGAUUUCCUCUCUUCCUAUUUAAAUACCUUUAUUUCUUUCUCCUGCCUGCUUGCCCUGGCCAGAAACUCCAGUACUAUGUUGAAUAGGAGUGGUGAGAGAGGCCAUCCUUGUCUUGUGCCAGUUCUCAAGGGGAAUGCUUCCAGGUUUUGCUCAUUCAGUAUGAUAUUGGCUGUGGGUUUGUCAUAUAUGGCUCUUAUUAUUUUGAGGUGUGAUCCUUCAAUAGCUAGUUUAUUGAGAGUUUUUGACAUGAAGGGAUGUUGAAUUUUAUUGAAGGCCUUUUCUGCAUCUGUUGAGAUAAUCGUGUUGUUUUUGUGUUUAAUUCUGUUUAUGUGAGGAAUUACAUUUAUAGAUUUGCCUGUGUUGAACCAACCUUGUAUCCCAGGGAUGAAGCCAUCUUGAUCGUGGUGGGUCAAGGUACCCUUAUCAGUCUUAGGUUCAGUCUUUUUACAUAAUCCCAUAUUUCUUGAAGGUUUUAUUCAUUCUUUUUUGGUCUUUUUUCUCUAUUCUUCUCUGUUCUUUUUUCUCUAUUCUUCUCUUCCUGUCUUAGACAGAUGGCUUUGAAGCUCUGAGAUUCUUUCCUCCACUUGGCCUAUUCUGCUAGUGAUACUUGUGGUUGCAUUGCGAAGUUCUCGUGUUGUGUUUCUCACCUCCAUCAGGUCAGUUAUGUUCCUCUCUAAACUGAAUAUUCUGGUUAUCACCUUCUGUAAUUUCUUUUAUGAUUUUUAGCUUCCUUGCAUUAAGUUAGAAUGUGCUCCUUUAGCUCAGUGUGGUUUGUUAUUACCCACCUCCUAAAGCCUACUUUUGUCAAUUCAGCCAUCUCAGCCUGGGGUCAGUUCUGUGCCCUUGCUGGGGAGGUGUUGUUGUCAUUUAGAGGAGAAGAGGCAUUCUGCCUCUUUGAGUUUUCAGCGUUUUUGUGUUAUGUUUUGUCAUCUUUGUGGGCUUAUCUACCUUUGAUUUUUGACGUUGCUGACCUUUGAAUGGGGUUUUCGUGGGGUCUUUUUUGUUGAUGGUGUUGCUUUCUGUUUGUUUUUAACAGUCAGACCACUCUUCCCUAGGGCUGCUGUGGUUUUCUGGGGGUCCACUCUGGACCCUCAUCACCUCAGUCUCUCCUGCCCCUGGAGGUAUCACCAGUGAAGGCUGCGAAACAGCAAAGAUGGCGGCCUGUUCCUUCCUCUGGGAGCACCAGUCCAAGGAGGUACCGACUUGAUGCCAGCUGGAACGCUCCUGUAGGAGGUGUCUGGAGACCCCUGUUGGGAGGUCUUGCCCAGUCAGGAGAAACAGAAUCAGGGACUGCUUAAAGAAGCAGUCUGGCUGCCCUUUGGCAGAGCAGGUGUGCUGUGGUGACUGCCAGGAGUCUCCAGAGCCAGCAGGCUGGAAAGGCUCAGUUGGCUGAACUGGGGAGACAGCAGCUACCCCUCUCCCUGGGGACUUCAUCCCAGGGAGAAAUCAGAGUUCUGUCCAUAGAACUCUGGCUGGAGUUGCUAAAAUUCCGAUGGGCAGGCCCUGUUCGGUGAGGAGGGAUGGAUUUCGGUCUCACUUAAAGAAGCAGCCCGGCCACGAUCAGGCACAGCAGCUGUGCUGUGUUAUGGGGGACUCCUCCUGGUCCCUGGUGCCAGCAGGCUAGAGCGGCCAACUCAAACCACAGAUAGAGUGGCUGCCCUCCCCCAGGAACUCGGUCCAUCUCCGGCUGUCUCCAGCCUGCUGCCACUGGCCAGCUGGAAUUCCGUGGUUUGUAGUCCUCCUUGAAGAGGUUCUUCACUUCGCUUGUUAGCUGUAUUCCUAUGUAUUUUAUUCUCUUUGUAGUAAUUGUGAAUGAAGUUCAUUCAUGAUUUGGCUCUCUACUUGCCUGUUGUUGGUGUAUAGGAAUACUAGCGAUUUUUGCACAUUGAUUUUGUAUCCUGAGAUUCUGUUGAUGUGGUUCAUCAGCUUAAGAAGCUUUUGGGCUGAGAUGAUGGGGUUUUCUAGAUACAGGAUCAUGUCAUCUGCAAACAAAGAUAAUUUGAUUUCCUCUCUUCCUAUUUAAAUACCUUUAUUUCUUUCUCCUGCCUGCUUGCCCUGGCCAGAAACUCCAGUACUAUGUUGAAUAGGAGUGGUGAGAGAGGCCAUCCUUGUCUUGUGCCAGUUCUCAAGGGGAAUGCUUCCAGGUUUUGCUCAUUCAGUAUGAUAUUGGCUGUGGGUUUGUCAUAUAUGGCUCUUAUUAUUUUGAGGUGUGAUCCUUCAAUAGCUAGUUUAUUGAGAGUUUUUGACAUGAAGGGAUGUUGAAUUUUAUUGAAGGCCUUUUCUGCAUCUGUUGAGAUAAUCGUGUUGUUUUUGUGUUUAAUUCUGUUUAUGUGAGGAAUUACAUUUAUAGAUUUGCCUGUGUUGAACCAACCUUGUAUCCCAGGGAUGAAGCCAUCUUGAUCGUGGUGGGUCAAGGUACCCUUAUCAGUCUUAGGUUCAGUCUUUUUACAUAAUCCCAUAUUUCUUGAAGGUUUUAUUCAUUCUUUUUUGGUCUUUUUUCUCUAUUCUUCUCUGUUCUUUUUUCUCUAUUCUUCUCUUCCUGUCUUAGACAGAUGGCUUUGAAGCUCUGAGAUUCUUUCCUCCACUUGGCCUAUUCUGCUAGUGAUACUUGUGGUUGCAUUGCGAAGUUCUCGUGUUGUGUUUCUCACCUCCAUCAGGUCAGUUAUGUUCCUCUCUAAACUGAAUAUUCUGGUUAUCACCUUCUGUAAUUUCUUUUAUGAUUUUUAGCUUCCUUGCAUUAAGUUAGAAUGUGCUCCUUUAGCUCAGUGUGGUUUGUUAUUACCCACCUCCUAAAGCCUACUUUUGUCAAUUCAGCCAUCUCAGCCUGGGGUCAGUUCUGUGCCCUUGCUGGGGAGGUGUUGUUGUCAUUUAGAGGAGAAGAGGCAUUCUGCCUCUUUGAGUUUUCAGCGUUUUUGUGUUAUGUUUUGUCAUCUUUGUGGGCUUAUCUACCUUUGAUUUUUGACGUUGCUGACCUUUGAAUGGGGUUUUCGUGGGGUCUUUUUUGUUGAUGGUGUUGCUUUCUGUUUGUUUUUAACAGUCAGACCACUCUUCCCUAGGGCUGCUGUGGUUUUCUGGGGGUCCACUCUGGACCCUCAUCACCUCAGUCUCUCCUGCCCCUGGAGGUAUCACCAGUGAAGGCUGCGAAACAGCAAAGAUGGCGGCCUGUUCCUUCCUCUGGGAGCACCAGUCCAAGGAGGUACCGACUUGAUGCCAGCUGGAACGCUCCUGUAGGAGGUGUCUGGAGACCCCUGUUGGGAGGUCUUGCCCAGUCAGGAGAAACAGAAUCAGGGACUGCUUAAAGAAGCAGUCUGGCUGCCCUUUGGCAGAGCAGGUGUGCUGUGGUGACUGCCAGGAGUCUCCAGAGCCAGCAGGCUGGAAAGGCUCAGUUGGCUGAACUGGGGAGACAGCAGCUACCCCUCUCCCUGGGGACUUCAUCCCAGGGAGAAAUCAGAGUUCUGUCCAUAGAACUCUGGCUGGAGUUGCUAAAAUUCCGAUGGGCAGGCCCUGUUCGGUGAGGAGGGAUGGAUUUCGGUCUCACUUAAAGAAGCAGCCCGGCCACGAUCAGGCACAGCAGCUGUGCUGUGUUAUGGGGGACUCCUCCUGGUCCCUGGUGCCAGCAGGCUAGAGCGGCCAACUCAAACCACAGAUAGAGUGGCUGCCCUCCCCCAGGAACUCGGUCCAUCUCCGGCUGUCUCCAGCCUGCUGCCACUGGCCAGCUGGAAUUCCAAGCCAAUGGGACUUGUGAGGUGCUGUGGGAGUGGGGCCUCAGAAUGAUGUCACUUGGCUCCCUGGAUUCAGCCCCCUUCCUAGGGGAAUGCACGGAUGUAUCUCCCGCUUUGCUGGAAUUUUCGGGGCAGAGGAUGCAAAACUCCUGGGCUUUCACGCAUGCCCCAGUGAGCCAGCGAGCAUUCCGCCCAGACUCCACACAGCUCUGUGCUUCAGACCCAAGGCCAUGGCUGAGCUCACCAGGGGGCCUCCUGAUCUGCAGGUUGCAAAGAUCCGUGGGAGAAGCAUGGUUUCCCAGGCAGAGUCGCACAAUCACUCACCGCCUCCCUUGGCUGUGAGUGGGGUCGCCCCUAGCUCCGUGCCACACCUGGGUGGGCCAUCGCCCCACUUGCUUUUCCUUACUCCCUGUGGGUCGAGCUGUCUGGCUAGUCAGUCCCAAUGCAAGAACCUGGAUACCUCAACUGAAGGUGCAGAAUUCACUUGCAGUUUUCACUGCUCUCCGUGAGAGCCGCAGGCCACAGCUGUUUCUAAUAGGCCAGCUUGGCCCCAUCUAAAGUAUGAUUUCUUAAUACAUGAGAUGUUUUAAAUAUGUAACAAUAUUUAUCACAAAUAAUAUUUUGUCUCAAUGUGAUAUAAAAAUUGCUAAUAAAUCAAUUCUUUUUUGGUUACCACAAAGCUAUCUGGAAAUGUAACAUCUGCCAUUUAGAAAAUUUUUGUAGAGUUAAUAGAACUUUACCUGAAGGGAGGCUGGCAAUAUGCAUCAUGAUUUCAAAUAUUGUAUUAAUUGUUUUGUAAUUUUGUGUUUUUUAAAACUAAACUUAUUAAAUUGGUUGUAUAUUACUUUAGGUAGCACUAUUUGGUGAUGAGAGA